GUUGUAGCGUAGUUGGCUAACGCGCCAGAUUGUGGCUCUGGAGACCAUGGGUUCGAGUCCCAUCAUC
RNAcentral lists this transfer RNA (67 nucleotides) under human gut metagenome. It matches the Rfam family "tRNA", at positions 6 to 65 of the family's 71-position model. Rfam says of the family: Transfer RNA (tRNA) molecules are approximately 80 nucleotides in length. Their secondary structure includes four short double-helical elements and three loops (D, anti-codon, and T loops). Further hydrogen bonds mediate the characteristic L-shaped molecular structure. tRNAs have two regions of fundamental functional importance: the anti-codon, which is responsible for specific mRNA codon recognition, and the 3' end, to which the tRNAs corresponding amino acid is attached (by aminoacyl-tRNA synthetases). tRNAs cope with the degeneracy of the genetic code in two manners: having more than one tRNA (with a specific anti-codon) for a particular amino acid; and 'wobble' base-pairing, i.e. permitting non-standard base-pairing at the 3rd anti-codon position. The record is from RNAcentral.